This 460-nucleotide ribosomal RNA is filed under the name uncultured bacterium. RNAcentral describes it as "partial 16S ribosomal RNA". It matches the Rfam family "Bacterial small subunit ribosomal RNA", at positions 338 to 795 of the family's 1533-position model. The record is from RNAcentral.
CCUACGGGCGGCUGCAGUGAGGAAUAUUGGUCAAUGGCCGGAAGGCUGAACCAGCCAUGCCGCGUGAAGGUCAGUGCCCUAUGGGCGUUAAACUUCUUUUGUGCGGGAGCAAUAAUGGUCACGUGUGGCCAGACGAGAGUACCGUACGAAUAAGCAUCGGCUAAAUCCGUGCCAGCAGCCGCGGUAAUACGGGGGAUGCAAGCGUUAUCCGGAUUUAUUGGGGUUAAAGGGUGCGUAGGCUGUGAGGUAAGUCAGCGGUGAAAUGCCGCCGCUCAACGGGGUGAAGUGCCAUUGAUACUGCCUUGCUGGAAUGCAGAUGCCGUGGGAGGAAUGUGUGGUGUAGCGGUGAAAUGCAUAGAUAUCACACAGAACACCGAUUGCGAAGGCAUCUCACGAAACCGCGAUUGACGCUGAUGCACGAAAGCGUGGGUAUCAAACAGGAUUAGAUACCCGAGUAGUC